This 76-nucleotide transfer RNA is filed under the name bacterium. Its description in RNAcentral is "tRNA-Thr". It matches the Rfam family "tRNA". Rfam says of the family: Transfer RNA (tRNA) molecules are approximately 80 nucleotides in length. Their secondary structure includes four short double-helical elements and three loops (D, anti-codon, and T loops). The record is from RNAcentral. RNAcentral also lists the same sequence under 2 other names.
GCCGACGUAGCUCAACCGGCAGAGCAGCUGAUUUGUAAUCAGCGGGUUGUCCGUUCGAGUCGGAUCGUCGGCUCCA